GUGGGGAAUUUUGGACAAUGGGCGCAAGCCUGAUCCAGCCAUUCCGCGUGCAGGAUGAAGGCCUUCGGGUUGUAAACUGCUUUUGUACGGAACGAAAAGCCUCUGGUUAAUACCCGGGGGUCAUGACGGUACCGUAAGAAUAAGCACCGGCUAACUACGUGCCAGCAGCCGCGGUAAUACGUAGGGUGCGAGCGUUAAUCGGAAUUACUGGGCGUACAGCGUGCGCAGGCGGUGAUGUAAGACAGUUGUGAAAUCCCCGGGCUCAACCUGGGAACUGCAUCUGUGACUGCAUUGCUGGAGUGCGGAAGAGGGGGAUGGAAGUCCGCGUGUAGCAGUGAAAUGCGUAGAUAUGCGGAGGAACACCGAUGGCGAAGGCAAUCCCCUGGGCCUGCACUGACGCUCAUGCACGAAAGCGUGGGGAGCAAACAGGAUUAGAAACCCGUGUAGUCC
This 450-nucleotide ribosomal RNA is filed under the name uncultured bacterium. RNAcentral's name for it is "partial 16S ribosomal RNA". It matches the Rfam family "Bacterial small subunit ribosomal RNA", at positions 354 to 796 of the family's 1533-position model. The record is from RNAcentral.